Molecule: ribosomal RNA, 802 nt
Filed under: uncultured bacterium
Lineage: Bacteria
Description: bacterial SSU rRNA
Rfam family: Bacterial small subunit ribosomal RNA
Source: RNAcentral
AGAGUUUGAUCCUGGCUCAGGAUGAACGCUGGCGGCGUGCCUAACACAUGCAAGUCGAACGGAGUUUAUAUUAUGAAGUUUUCGGAUGGAUUAAUAUAAACUUAGUGGCGGACGGGUGAGUAACGCGUGGGUAACCUGCCUCAUACUGGGGAAUAACAACCGGAAACGGUUGCUAAAACCGCAUAAUAUGCGAAUGUCGCAUGAUGAUCGCAUUAAAUAUUUAUAGGUAUGAGAUGGACCCGCGUCUGAUUAGCUAGUUGGUGAGAUAAAAGCUCACCAAGGCGACGAUCAGUAGCCGGCUUGAGAGAGUGACCGGCCACAUUGGGACUGAGACACGGCCCAAACUCCUACGGGAGGCAGCAGUGGGGAAUAUUGCACAAUGGGGGAAACCCUGAUGCAGCGACGCCGCGUGAGUGAAGAAGUAUUUCGGUAUGUAAAGCUCUAUCAGCAGGGAAGAAAAUGACGGUACCUGACUAAGAAGCCCCGGCUAACUACGUGCCAGCAGCCGCGGUAAUACGUAGGGGGCAAGCGUUAUCCGGAUUUACUGGGUGUAAAGGGAGCGUAGGUGGCAAGUCAAGUCAGAUGUGAAAGCCCGGGGCUCAACCCCGGGAUUGCAUUUGAAACUGGUUUGCUAGAGUGCAGGAGAGGUAAGUGGAAUUCCUAGUGUAGCGGUGAAAUGCGUAGAUAUUAGGAGGAACACCAGUGGCGAAGGCGGCUUACUGGACUGUAACUGACACUGAGGCUCGAAAGCGUGGGGAGCAAACAGGAUAAGAUACCCUGGUAGUCCACGCCGUAAACGAUG